Dipodomys ordii (Ord's kangaroo rat) is the source of this 105-nucleotide small nuclear RNA. The record is from Ensembl. Lineage: Eukaryota; Metazoa; Chordata; Mammalia; Rodentia; Heteromyidae.
GUGAUUUCUUUGGCAACACAUAUACUAAAUAUUGAAACAAUGCAGAGACUAGGAUGGUCCCUGUUCAUGGUUGACAAGCAAAUUUGUAAAGCAUUUUAUAUUUUA